Molecule: ribosomal RNA, 484 nt
Filed under: uncultured Glomus
Lineage: Eukaryota; Fungi; Glomeromycota; Glomeromycetes; Glomerales; Glomeraceae
Description: SSU rRNA
Rfam family: Eukaryotic small subunit ribosomal RNA
Source: RNAcentral
AGCAGCCGCGGUAAUUCCAGCUCCAAUAGCGUAUAUUAAAGUUGUUGCAGUUAAAAAGCUCGUAGUUGAAUUUCGGGGUCAGUAGGUCGGUCGUGCCACUGGUAUGAACUGGUUUUACUGAUUCCUCCCUCUUGAAGAACUGUAAUGCCAUUAAUUUGGUGUUGCAGGGAAUCAGGACUGUUACUUUGAAAAAAUUAGAGUGUUUAAAGCAGGCUUUAGCUUGAAUACAUUAGCAUGGAAUAAUGAAAUAGGACGUUUGAUCCUAUUUUGUUGGUUUCUAGGAUUGACGUAAUGAUUAAUAGGGAUAGUUGGGGGCAUUAGUAUUCAAUUGUCAGAGGUGAAAUUCUUGGAUUUAUUGAAGACUAACUACUGCGAAAGCAUUUGCCAAGGAUGUUUUCAUUAAUCAAGAACGAAAGUUAGGGGAUCGAAGACGAUCAGAUACCGUCGUAGUCUUAACCAUAAACUAUGCCGACUAGGGAUCGGA